GACGAACGCUGGCGGCGUGCCUAAUACAUGCAAGUCGAGCGGACUGAAUGGGAGCUUGCUCUUGUUCGGUCAGCGGCGGACGGGUGAGUAACACGUGGGCAACCUGCCCGCAAGACCGGGAUAACUCCGGGAAACCGGAGCUAAUACCGGAUAACACCGAAGACCGCAUGGUCUUUGGUUGAAAGGCGGCGCAAGCUGCCACUUGCGGAUGGGCCCGCGGCGCAUUAGCUAGUUGGUGAGGUAACGGCUCACCAAGGCGACGAUGCGUAGCCGGCCUGAGAGGGUGACCGGCCACACUGGGACUGAGACACGGCCCAGACUCCUACGGGAGGCAGCAGUAGGGAAUCUUCCGCAAUGGGCGAAAGCCUGACGGAGCGACGCCGCGUGAGCGAAGAAGGCCUUCGGGUCGUAAAGCUCUGUUGUGAGGGACGAAGGAGCGCCGUUUGAAGAAGGCGGCGCGGUGACGGUACCUCACGAAGAAGCCCCGGCUAACUACGUG
Molecule: ribosomal RNA, 499 nt
Filed under: uncultured bacterium
Lineage: Bacteria
Description: partial 16S ribosomal RNA
Rfam family: Bacterial small subunit ribosomal RNA
Source: RNAcentral